GGGCGGGCUGCGGACUACCAUGCAGUCGAGCGGAACGACACCAAUAGAAACCUUCGGGUGCGUUAAUGGGCGUCGAGCGGCGGACGGGUGAGUAAUGCCUAGGAAAUUGCCUUGAUGUGGGGGAUAACCAUUGGAAACGAUGGCUAAUACCGCAUAAUGCCUACGGGCCAAAGAGGGGGAUCUUCGGACCUCUCGCGUCAAGAUAUGCCUAGGUGGGAUUAGCUAGUUGGUGAGGUAAUGGCUCACCAAGGCGACGAUCCCUAGCUGGUCUGAGAGGAUGAUCAGCCACACUGGAACUGAGACACGGUCCAGACUCCUACGGGAGGCAGCAGUGGGGAAUAUUGCACAAUGGGCGAAAGCCUGAUGCAGCCAUGCCGCGUGUAUGAAGAAGGCCUUCGGGUUGUAAAGUACUUUCAGUUGUGAGGAAGGGGGUAACGUUAAUAGCGUUAUCUCUUGACGUUAGCAACAGAAGAAGCACCGGCUAACUCCGUGCCAGCAGCCGCGGUAAUACGGAGGGUGCGAGCGUUAAUCGGAAUUACUGGGCGUAAAGCGCAUGCAGGUGGUUCAUUAAGUCAGAUGUGAAAGCCCGGGGCUCAACCUCGGAACUGCAUUUGAAACUGGUGAACUAGAGUGCUGUAGAGGGGGGUAGAAUUUCAGGUGUAGCGGUGAAAUGCGUAGAGAUCUGAAGGAAUACCAGUGGCGAAGGCGGCCCCCUGGACAUACACUGACACUCAGAUGCUGAAGCGUGGGGAGCAAACACGAUUAGAUACCCUGGUAGUCCACCCCGUAAACGAUGUCUACUUGCAGGUUGUGUCCUUCACCCGUGGCUUUCUUAGCUAACACGUUAUUUAAACCGCCUGGCGAGUACUGUCGCAAGAUUAAAACUCAUAUGAAUUG
RNAcentral lists this ribosomal RNA (897 nucleotides) under Vibrio sp. Wash2. RNAcentral describes it as "bacterial SSU rRNA". It matches the Rfam family "Bacterial small subunit ribosomal RNA", at positions 37 to 912 of the family's 1533-position model. The record is from RNAcentral. Lineage: Bacteria; Pseudomonadati; Pseudomonadota; Gammaproteobacteria; Vibrionales; Vibrionaceae.